CCCAAGCCACUGCAGCAGCUGCUCCCUUCCUGCCCAACAUCUUGGGCUGGUGCCACCCAGGAGUGGUGGCCUGGUGUGAUGGGCACCAAGAGCCCUGUCCCAGGAAGGGGCUUGCCACCCCACCCCAGCACCCUCAGCCUCUGUCCAGAACCUUGUCCUGGACCAGAACCACCUGCCUCCUGGGUGUGGCUGACACUCAGACAGUCCUGCUCCAUUUCUAUGAAGAUCAGAAGCAGCGACCUGAAGCAACCUCCUGCCGAGCCCAGACUGCCUGCCGCCUGCCUGUAGGAUUAACGUGCAUGUAUGGAAGUCAGCAAAGCCCGCCAUCUCCAUGGCAAUCACUGGUGACACCUCUCCUGGAGGAUUCCAAAGGCAGCUCCCACCCCAAGCGCUGGCCAGGCGCCCCAGCCCUCCCCUCAGAUUUUCUACCUAGAGAGACUCCCUG
RNAcentral lists this long non-coding RNA (445 nucleotides) under Heterocephalus glaber (naked mole-rat). RNAcentral describes it as "lncRNA (ENSHGLG00100036018.1)". The record is from RNAcentral. Lineage: Eukaryota; Metazoa; Chordata; Mammalia; Rodentia; Bathyergidae.